This is a long non-coding RNA of Physeter macrocephalus (sperm whale), 816 nucleotides long. RefSeq lists it as uncharacterized. The record is from RefSeq and is a predicted model, not a curated record. Lineage: Eukaryota; Metazoa; Chordata; Mammalia; Artiodactyla; Physeteridae. The transcript is spliced from 4 exons.
CUCGUCCCAAGAGUCAUCCAGGUCGUACAGAGGCUCAAAGUUCUCCACCAGGGGAUCUGCUCCUGCGAAGUCAAGUUACACAGCGUUAGCUGCAGCCUGAUCUCUGGGGCAGUAAGUGUCACCUGACCACGGAAACAGUAGAGAAACUAGGAUGAACAAUUUGCAGGACCAAAGAUGGAGAAGCUGAACUAGGAAGAGAGGAUUGAAUUGGAAUAACACCUUCAAAUCCUUGAGCAAAACGGGACAGAAACACAGCAGAGAGAAUAGAGUCUGGAAGUUAGGGUGACGAGGUGUGACUCACAGCUCUGCCCCUUACUGGGGCCCUGGGACUGGGAUGCAGAAGUCUCUCUAGUCUGUUUCCUUGGCUAUAAAAUGGGACUAAUAAUGGGAUUUGUCUUAAAGGGUUAUUGUGGAUUAAGUAAGACUAAAUGAGACAGUGCAUGUGAAGUGCCUAGCCCAACAGAAGCUAGCGAUUUUUAGUGCCUGGCACAUGACAGUACUCAACACACAGCCCAUUUGUUUUUUCCUAUUACUUUGGCUUCUCAGGGACCUUUCUUGCAAAAGGAAGUCUUUAAAUCAUUUCUUAUACAAAUAAACUUUUCCUUCUGAGGACUUGUGACAUGACCUGAGGUGGAUACUGCUCCGAGUUCUACAGGGAAUUCGAUUCAGCGUUAAGAAGAUCUCUUGUCAUGGGAGUCAGUGAAGACAACCCACAUCCAACACAAACAGGAGCAGGCAGCCAGCCAAGGAGAUGUUGUCGUGCUCCACGGCCAGAUGCAGCGCCGUGCGCCCCGACUUCCGCUCCUGCGCGUUGAC